RNAcentral lists this ribosomal RNA (551 nucleotides) under uncultured Veillonellaceae bacterium. RNAcentral's name for it is "bacterial SSU rRNA". It matches the Rfam family "Bacterial small subunit ribosomal RNA", at positions 123 to 650 of the family's 1533-position model. The record is from RNAcentral. Lineage: Bacteria; Bacillati; Bacillota; Negativicutes; Veillonellales; Veillonellaceae.
AACCUGCCCUUUGGAUGGGGACAACAUUCCGAAAGGAGUGCUAAUACCGAAUGUGAUCCAUUUCUCGCAUGAGAGAUGGAUGAAAGAUGGCCUCUAUUUAUAAGCUAUCGCCAAAGGAUGGGCCUGCGUCUGAUUAGUUAGUUGGUGGGGUAACGGCUCACCAAGACGAUGAUCAGUAGCCGGUCUGAGAGGAUGAACGGCCACAUUGGGACUGAGACACGGCCCAAACUCCUACGGGAGGCAGCAGUGGGGAAUCUUCCGCAAUGGACGAAAGUCUGACGGAGCAACGCCGCGUGAGUGAUGAAGGUUUUCGGACUGUAAAACUCUGUUGUCAGGGACGAAGGUGCGAUCUGCGAAUAGUUGAUCGUAUUGACGGUACCUGACGAGGAAGCCCCGGCUAACUACGUGCCAGCAGCCGCGGUAAUACGUAGGGGGCAAGCGUUAUCCGGAUUUACUGGGUGUAAAGGGAGCGUAGGCGGCAAGGCAAGUCUGAUGUGAAAACCCGGGGCUCAACCCCGGGACUGCAUUGGAAACUGUUUAGCUAGAGUGUC